Onychostoma macrolepis is the source of this 1053-nucleotide long non-coding RNA. RefSeq lists it as uncharacterized. The transcript is spliced from 5 exons. Lineage: Eukaryota; Metazoa; Chordata; Actinopteri; Cypriniformes; Cyprinidae. The record is from RefSeq and is a predicted model, not a curated record.
UCUGUUCCUUACCCUCAUCCAGAAAGGACGAACAGAACGCGACGGCAGCGUAUAAUCAAACAAAUUCCAUCAUAUUUCUAUCAUGGCGCCGAAAAAGCGUGGAAUACAGCGAUACAAAAUCAUUAUGCAUUAGACGUAAAUAGAUUAAAACAGCGACCAACACUGCUCUUUCUGAGUCCAUCAUUUGUGCUGUCCAGUGGGGUAUGUGAAUAAUGGCAGUAAAAAAAUUAACCACAAUUCUUAGCGAAUAAUAAGAAUAAUGUAAAUUGCAUGUAAACGGGAGUAAGAGCUUUGCUCUUGACAUGUAAACAUCAAAAUGCGAUUAAGUCCUUACUCUGAUUAUUGGAAAUAAUCGCAAUAUUCGUGCGCAUGUAAACGCAGUCAUUGUCUUCAAGAAUGUUGUACACAAGAACCACACAAACGAGUACGUGCACACGUAGAAGGAUGCGUGAGGACGUAACAGCAACGUUUUCGCGCUCGCUCUCUGGGUGAAGUCGUUACGUCGACCAACCUUAAGUAUGAUCGUUUUUGUCACAAAAAACGUCUUUUUUUCCUCAACAUCUUCAAGAAGGGUGUACACAAGAACCAAACAAAUGAUCUUCAGGAAAGUUGACUGUUGAGGCAGGUGCGCUACAAGACUAAAAUAAUUCGCACAGUAAACAGUUUUCCUGUAGUAGCAGCUGGAGCUGCUCUGAUUAUGAUCUAACUGUCAAAAAGGUUGUAGAACAAGGACAAGAACAAGAGCAGUUCCCACCUGGUUUCCAUGGCAUCUGUCCAACUCACAGCAGGAAAGGAAGCAGAUCUCGGCAGUGCUGAGUUCGCCCUCUUCUGGACGGAAGGCAAGUGUGAGGUGGCCAUGAGAAUGCUAUACAUCAUGGCAGACCAUCUGGAGUGUCUCAACUACACUUUGCACAGAAAUACGUCCUCAUCCUAGCUUCUUAUCCAUACAUCACAAAACCAUAUAAACAGCCAACCAAGGGAAUAUAACCUUGGUAUCACGCCAUCUUUGCAUCUCUUCCCCUCACUGCUUUCAAACCAAUGCUACAUUAUUUA